AAACAGAAGUGAGAAAAAGAGAAGAGAGAGAGAGAGAGAGAGAGGUGUAGUAGUCAUCAUAGACUUGUUUUAGGGUUUUGAUCCAAAUGCAAAGCAUUGUAAACCCAUUAAAAAGAUUAACUGUACUGACAACUUCCACAUGUCCCUCUUCUUUCUUAACUUGGGAAAAAAAAAUUCCCAUUUUUCCAUCACCGUUUUGCUCCGGAGGAAAGUUCAGGGCAUUCUUGAAUUUGCAUGCACGGUAGAGAAACAAGGUUUGUCCAUGUUUUCUUGAGGUCUGAGCACAUAUUCUUUGUGUUUUUCGCUUGGGGGCCUCUUUUGUUUGGGCUCCUGAGGAAAUUGGAGAUGUGGGCUUCUGUGGAAAUCUUGUUAUGAUGUAGUUAGUACAUGGAAGAUGGGAGUUGAUUCAGGGAAAUUCGUGCGCAUUGUUGUCGGAUUGUUUGUUUGCCUUGUGGGAGGUGUUAGUUGUGUUACAGACCAAAAUGAUUUCAACAUUCUGAGUGAUUUCAGAGAUGGUUUGGAAAAUCCAGAGCUUCUGAAAUGGCCUGAUGAGGGAAAUGAUCCAUGCGGCCCUCCUGCAUGGCCUCAUGUGUUCUGCUCUAAUGGCAGAGUCACACAGAUUCAGGUUCAGGGCCUUGGAUUAGAGGGGCCUUUGCCCCAGAAUUUGAAUCAAUUGGAUAAACUCUACAAUGUUGGCUUUCAGAGGAACAAAUUCACUGGAAAGUUGCCUACUUUUAGUGGAUUAUCUAACUUGGAAUUUGCAUUUUUGGACUUUAAUGAAUUUGAUGCAAUUCCUACUGAUUUCUUUCAUGGGCUUAGUAAUGUUCGUGUGUUGGCUUUGGAUAGUAACCCCUUUAAUCAAAGUUCUGGAUGGACAAUACCUACUGAGCUAGCAGAGUGUUCUCAGUUGGUGAAUUUUUCUUGCUCAGCUUGCAAUAUAGUUGGUACUGUGCCUGAUUUUUUCGGAAAGUUGCCGUCUCUUGCGUCUUUGGAGUUGGCGUAUAAUAGGUUGACUGGUAAUAUACCAUCCACUUUUCAGGAUUCCAUGUUGCAGAUGUUGUGGUUGAAUGAUCAGGAUGGGGGUGGGAUGACUGGUCCAAUCGAUGUAAUCGGUACGAUGGUUGGGUUAACAAUGGUGUGGCUCCAUGGAAAUCAGUUUAGCGGAUCGAUUCCUGAUGAUAUUGGGCGUUUGACGUCCUUGAGGGAACUCAACCUCAACAGAAAUCGGCUAGUCGGUCUGAUCCCAUCAAGCUUGGCUGAUAUGAAACUUGAUCUGUUGGAUUUGAACAAUAAUAUGUUCAUGGGUCCGAUACCUAAGUUCAAAGCUGCAAAUGUUUCUUACAAAUCGAAUUCGUUCUGUCAAUUGGCUCCUGGCGAACAAUGUGCUCCUGAAGUCAGUGCGCUUAUAGAUUUCCUUCAUGGUUUGAAUUAUCCGGUAAGACUUGCUUCUGCAUGGACAGGCAAUGAUCCUUGUAGUGGCCCUUGGUGGGGGAUCACUUGUAACUCAAGGAACCAAGUUUCUGUCAUAAAUUUGCAAAAGCUUGGGCUUAAUGGCACACUUAGUCCUUCACUGGUGAACUUAUCUUCACUCCUUGAAAUUCACUUGGAAGGAAACAAUAUACAUGGCACGGUCCCUGCAAAUCUGACUCAGCUCAGAUCACUGAGAUUGCUGAACUUAAGUGGGAACAAUUUUGAGCCACCAUUGCCAAGAUUCCGUGAUGGAGUGAGAGUAGUAACUGAUGAUAAUGCAAAAUUUCAAGCCAAAGCACCUGAGCAGUCUCCGUCACCAGAUGCUGGACCACCUCUUCCCCCUUCUCCAAAUGACAGUCCACAAUCGCCGCCAAAUGAUAAUCGUCCAUCUGUUGACAGUAAACAGCCACCGGCAGAUUCUCCGUCUUCAGCUAUUAAUUCAAGUCCUCAUCCAACCAGUGCAGUAAAUGAGCAGCAAAACCCCACAAAUUCAACAAAAUCUAGAGUGAUGGUUAUAGCAGCUGCAGCUGCAGGUUCCACUGUUUUUACACUUUUUGCAGUCUUUUUGACUUUCUACUGCAUUCGCAAGAGAAAAGAGACAAAAAAUCCUCCUUCCAGUAUUGUGAUUCAUCCUAAAGAUUCACCGGAUCCUGAUAAUACAGUGAAGAUUGCUGUAGUAGAUGGCUCUGCCUUGGAAGCUCAAACUGGACGUGGUACCAUGAGUGACGGAUUGGAGAACGGUCAGGUGAUUGAGGCUGGGAACCUCCUCAUUUCUCUUCAGGUCCUUCGCAAGGUGACCAACAAUUUUGCACAAGAAAAUGAGCUUGGACGUGGAGGUUUUGGAGUAGUUUACAAGGGUGAGCUGGAAGACGGAACUAAACUAGCAGUAAAGAGAAUGGUAGUUGGGGCCAUGAGUAACAAAGCAUUGGAUGAAUUCCAAUCAGAAAUUGCUGUGCUUUCGCAGGUCCGGCACCGCCAUCUUGUAUCCCUUUUGGGGUACUCUGUCGAAGGAAAUGAGAGGCUUUUGGUUUAUGAAUAUAUGCCUCAAGGUGCUCUGAGUAGACAUCUAUUCCGUUGGAAGAGUCUAGGUUUGGAGCCCUUAUCCUGGACAAGAAGGCUUAACAUUGCUCUUGAUGUUGCUCGAGGAGUGGAAUAUCUCCACACCUUGGCACAUCAGAGCUUUAUACACCGUGAUCUGAAAUCAUCGAAUAUUCUUCUUGAUGAUGAUUUCAGGGCAAAAGUUUCAGACUUUGGAUUGGUGAAGUUGGCACCUGACAGAGAGAGGUCGGUUGCAACUAGGCUGGCUGGAACCUUUGGAUACCUUGCACCUGAAUAUGCGGUGACUGGAAAAGUUACCACAAAGGUCGAUGUCUUCAGCUUCGGGGUGGUAUUAAUGGAACUUUUGACGGGACUAGUGGCACUUGAUGAACAACGUCCUGAGGAAAACCGGUACUUAGCUGAGUGGUUUUGGCAGAUUAAAUCCAACAAAGAGUCACUUAUUGCUUCCAUCGAUCCAGCUCUUGAUGCAAAAGAAGACAUUUACGAAACUAUUUACUCUAUAGCAGCAUUGGCUGGACAUUGCACUGCACGGGAUCCAAAUCACCGCCCGGACAUGGGACACGCCGUAAAUGCGCUAGCUCAAUUGGUCGAGAAAUGGAAACCAUAUGAGGAGACAGAUGAGUUUUCAGGCAUCAACAUGGCAUUGCCUCUUCCACAAAUGCUGAAGGGCUGGCAAGAAGAAGCGGAGACCCAAGAUUUCAGUGGCACUAGUCAGGACAGCAAGGGAAGCAUCCCGGCUAAGCCGUCAGGAUUUGCAGAUUCUUUCACUUCUGCUGAUGCUCGUUAAGUGAAGCUUCAACGAUUAUAGCCUCUUGGCAGUAAACCAGUCUGUUGUAAAGUAGGAAAGUGAUAUGAAUUGCGAAGGCCACUCGGCUCAUAUAUUAAGCACCAAGUAAUGAAAAGAAGAAAGGCUCCUACACCAAGCAAGGAUGAAGUAGGAACCGCAACCACACAUCAAUAUGAGUGCAAAUGGAGGAGAAGAGGGCAUCAUAUUUUAGUCAGAACCCGGACAACUAUCUAUCCCACAUGGAGAGGGAACAGGACGGACUUGAGGGUGAGGCUAAUAAAUUGAAGGGGAGAAGCGAUGUAGAAACUCACGCAGCUGCGCGGUGAGCCCAUAGCGAACUAUUCUUUCGCCUUUUACUAAAGAAUACCGUGUGCUCGCCGCAAUUCAAGCAGCAUACGCCACUUUUUGGAGGGUCCUUUUCCUUUGGAUAAGGCCCCAACAAUCCAGUUUUUAUUAAUUUUUAUUUAGUAUUCUUCCGAAUCCAAUAUUAGCUGUUGUAGUUUAUUCAUAAUAUUUCUUUCAUGGUUUUGUAAUUUUAUAUUAUA
RNA transcript from Sesamum indicum (sesame), 3861 nucleotides. It is a transcript of the gene named receptor protein kinase TMK1, with no coding region annotated. The record is from RefSeq and is a predicted model, not a curated record. NCBI's taxonomy places the organism in Eukaryota, Viridiplantae, Streptophyta, Magnoliopsida, Lamiales, Pedaliaceae.